Molecule: ribosomal RNA, 253 nt
Filed under: uncultured bacterium
Lineage: Bacteria
Description: partial 16S ribosomal RNA
Rfam family: Bacterial small subunit ribosomal RNA
Source: RNAcentral
UACGUAGGGUGCAAGCGUUGUCCGGAAUUAUUGGGCGUAAAGAGCUCGUAGGCGGUCUGUCGCGUCGAAUGUGAAAACUCGGGGCUUAACCCCGGGCCUGCAGUGGGUACGGGCAGACUAGAGUGCGGUAGGGGAGACUGGAAUUCCUGGUGUAGCGGUGAAAUGCGCAGAUAUCAGGAGGAACACCGGUGGCGAAGGCGGGUCUCUGGGCCGUAACCGACGCUGAGGAGCGAAAGCGUGGGGAGCGAACAGG